CACAGGAUAUUUUUGGAAAAUUCUUAAAUUGCACAAGCCUAUGAUUGGUUGAUUAGAAUCAUGUUUUUUUUAAAAAAUUUUAUCAGUUGGAUAAUGUACAAAUAGGUAUGCAUUAGUAGUUUUUAUACAUAACGUAAAUAGACAUAGAUUAGCAAGACUUUUUAUUAUAUGGAUAUGGGUAUUGUGAACUAAAACAUUCGUAUUAAUCAUACGCCACUACAUCCAGGAGUUGAGUGGCAUAUUUUCCGUAUGUACAUAACAUUUCCCGCCUUUGUCAUUGUUGUUUUGAAAAUACAAAUGGUCUUUGGUUCGUAAUCUUCGUAUUUAAAACGAAAUUAACGUUGGAAAUAAAACGAAAACAUUUAAAAGACAUCUUGAGAUAAGUAAAAUUUAUUCUAGUUUUAUGUUUGCACUAUAAUUUUAAAAAAAUAACGCUUCUUUCGCGUGCUUAUUUACAUGUCGUCUUUGUGUGUAUUUUUGUCACACUGAGUAAGUCCAUAUAAUAAACAGAACUUAAAUGGUUGCGGGAAGAUAUGGAUUUAUGUUCAGGCACGGAUUUUCUGGGGGGGGCACCCCCCCCAGAAAUGAUUUGCACCCCCCCCCCAAAGGCAUUUGGCAUCCCCGCAAAUUACAUAUAUUUUGAUUUGAUAGUUUCAUAUUUGAUUAUUCUUGCUACUAAAUUUGUAAAAUUACCAAUAUUAUGGUCUCAGAUCUCGCCAUGCAGGCCUAGAACACAAAUUUUGUUAAUCAGAACCCCCCCCCCCCCAGAUAUUUAUCCACCCCCCUCGAACGAAAAUACGAAAAUCCGUCUCUGUUUAUGUUCUUGUGUCAAAAACAAUAUCUCACUCAUUCACCUGUGCUCACUUGUGAGAUAUUGUUUUUGCCACUUCAAUAUAAAAUCCAUAUCUCUUCGCAACCGUCUAAUAUCCUAUAUAUAUUUAAUUAAUGAAUGAUAUGUAAAUAAAUAGAAUAUAUAACAUUUUUAUAUCCAAAUAUUGUAAACACAUUGUAAAUAAAUUAGCACUAAUAAACC
Molecule: non-coding RNA, 1033 nt
Organism: Paramuricea clavata
Lineage: Eukaryota; Metazoa; Cnidaria; Anthozoa; Malacalcyonacea; Plexauridae
Source: the annotation of a GenBank genome assembly